CAGAGUGAUAAAGAGAUGUCAGCAAAUGGUAGAAAACGAUAACACAAAAAUCUAGCUUGUACUAUUAAUUCUUACGAAUAACUAUGACAUCUACAGAUACUAUAAUACUGCCUACGACAAAUGAUAAUUUUGGCGGUCGUAACAACAUCAUCUCAGUAAAGAAAUCAGAUUUCGAAAAGAUGGAAGCGUUAGACAACGAUGACUGACAAUCUGGCUCAGAGGAUGACGACGAAUUCUUUGAGAAGAAUUUUCUUGACGAAGACUACGGUAUUCGAGAUGAUGUUCGUAAAUUAUUAAAAAGAUUACCUUGGAUUUGUGGUGGAUAUGGUGUAAGAUGGGAACCCCGUCUAUCUUUGUAUGUGACUGUGGCAACUGAAAGACAAGAUGAUGAAGAUGCAUUAAGAAAGGAAAUUGAUGAAAAAUUUGGAUGGAAAGCUUCUCCUUACUUUAAAUUUGAAACCAGAACCAAAAGAAAAAUCACAGUUUCGAUUUUUGUCAGACCUUAAAGUAGUAAAAAGAGAAAACGGUCCUAAUCCAAUGCGUAAAAAGAAGGACAAAAAAAAGAUUCAUGAAACAAUGGCAAAAGGUUCUGUCACAAUGUUUUGUGACACAGACAAGAAACACUACGCUUUGACCCCUUUUCACAAUUCAUGCAUCACUGACCGACAAGCCGCUGGUAACGAAUUCAAUUUUUCCCACAUCUGGGAAGAUAUAAAACAAUUAUGCGAGAGAAUUUCUAGAAGAGAAAUCCAAGAUGAAAAUAGAUGUUAUUACGUUCCUCUUAUGGGUAAAGAAAUAAAACUUGGAGCUCCUUGUUUUCGAUCAUUUAAUGAAAACACUGACAUCAUGGCCAUUGAAGUGAUUGAUCGUAAAAAGAUUACUCGCAACCCUUUCGUAAUCACGGAGACUGAUUGGAAAACAGUUAAAAAUCAACUAAAGAAAGGAAAUGCUAAGGUUCAGAAACGUGUUGGAGGCGCUGUAGGAAAAAUUUUAGACAUUAGCUAAAAUUUUUCACACAUAUGCAAAGAAACCGGACGUGACAUCUUCAGCAAAGUUAUCACCAUUGAAUGCGAACGUCCUUUUCUUAAAGAUGGAGAUUCUGGAGUGUUAAUAGAUUUCUACAAUGAGGACACAGAAGAACACAUACCUCUGGGUUACGGAGUCUGCGAACAUAAAAAAAAUGAUGGAAAAAUUGUCUAUGUAGCCUUUAGAUUAGACGUCGCAUUGAAAAAUCUAAACUUAAAAAACUGUCGUUGGUACUUGCAGGCAUAAAGAGUGAUCUUGGUCUUAUUUAAUGAAGUUUGGGGUGAGAAAAGUUUAUACUGAUGUUUUAUUCAAAUGCGAAAGUACUUUUUCGUAUUCAUAUACAUCGAUUUAGGUUUAUUGUGUUUAUCAAUUACUUAUUUUACUUUAUUUUUAUCAUCAUUUUGGUGUCAUUGGUGAUAUGUUCAUUUUCACUGUCACUUGUAUUCACUAUUUACACAUUUGCUGCACAAUUCUUGUCAUUAUAAUUUUUAUUUUUCUUCCAAAAUCCAUACUUUUCUCUGUAAGUUUAUGAUUGGAGUUGAAAUUACGAAAUUUACCAGACUUUGACAAAUAUAUUUACCACCUCAACACUAUAUCUUCAAUAUGUAAGUAUUUUCUGCAUGGCUAUUGUUGUAGUUAAGCAAAUCAUUUUUAAACAAAUAAUCAUUAUGUACUCGCCAGUAAAAUAA
Long non-coding RNA from Xenia sp. Carnegie-2017, 1715 nucleotides. RefSeq lists it as uncharacterized. The record is from RefSeq and is a predicted model, not a curated record. The transcript is spliced from 4 exons. Lineage: Eukaryota; Metazoa; Cnidaria; Anthozoa; Malacalcyonacea; Xeniidae.